GCCGAAGGUGGGGCUGAUGACUGGGGUGAAGUUGUAACAAGGUAGCCGUACCGGAAGGUGCGGCUGGAUCACCUCCUACAGGGAGACAACAAUCGAACAUGAUGUCUAAGUUAUUUACUCUUAGGCCAUGUUCCUGUCACCUUAGGUCGAUCGGUACCUCAGGAUUAUUGUCAGAACUUCUAUGAACUAGUUGGUCUGGUUAAUUGAUUUUCAGUUCCUAAACUUUGUCUAGGUCACACCCCGUAAGGGUUACUCCUGGGCCAUUAGCUCAGGUGGUUAGAGCGUACCCCUGAUAAGGGUGAGGUCCCUGGUUCAAGUCCAGGAUGGCCCAUUCUCAAUGUUGGGGGUUUAGCUCAGUUGGUAGAGCGCCUGCUUUGCAAGCAGGAUGUCAGCGGUUCGAGUCCGCUAACCUCCACUAACCAACCCUUCAACGUUCUCAAGGAGAACAUCUUUAAUAUGGUGAGACCUGGAAUUUAAGUCCGCUGAAGGAACCUAGCUUCCUAUCAUUCCUCUUCAAUUUUAAUUGUUUAGGUUGACAGGACGCUGGGCUCAAUGCAAUUCACAAAUUGCACUGAUUUCGGCAGAACCUUGACAACUGCAUAGGUGAGUCUGGAAAAAAUAAAGCAUCUCAUGGAUGCAUUAUUUGUUUUCAAAUCAAGAAAGAUCUGCGUAAGCAGCUCUAUAAAAUUGAUUUGUUGAGCAAAUGAAUGUCGAAUUCUUGAGCAAGCGCUGAGACUCUGUAUCGUUCUUUCGAUGAGAAAUACAUCGAGAGUCAGAUUUAUUUUUCAGUAUUUUAGUUUAAUUAGAUUCUUUUAGUUAACCCUAAAAACAUUUAAAUUAGACCGAAAUCCUUGAAUGAUUUAGAAAUACGUAUCAACUGCGUAUAGACGAUAUGGAGAUUAAAUGGUCAAGCUACCA
This 918-nucleotide unclassified non-coding RNA is filed under the name uncultured Prochlorococcus sp. RNAcentral describes it as "partial 16S-23S ribosomal RNA intergenic spacer; may also contain 16S ribosomal RNA and 23S ribosomal RNA". The stretch from base 343 to 415 matches the Rfam family "tRNA". Lineage: Bacteria; Bacillati; Cyanobacteriota; Cyanophyceae; Synechococcales; Prochlorococcaceae. The record is from RNAcentral.